This 484-nucleotide ribosomal RNA is filed under the name uncultured bacterium. Its description in RNAcentral is "partial 16S ribosomal RNA". It matches the Rfam family "Bacterial small subunit ribosomal RNA", at positions 30 to 507 of the family's 1533-position model. The record is from RNAcentral.
AUUGAACGCUGGCGGCAGGCCUAACACAUGCAAGUCGAGCGUAUGAAGGGAGCUUGCUCCUGGAUUCAGCGGCGGACGGGUGAGUAAUGCCUAGGAAUCUGCCUGGUAGUGGGGGAUAACGUCCGGAAACGGGCGCUAAUACCGCAUACGUCCUGAGGGAGAAAGUGGGGGAUCUUCGGACCUCACGCUAUCAGAUGAGCCUAGGUCGGAUUAGCUAGUUGGUGUGGUAAAGGCCUACCAAGGCGACGAUCCGUAACUGGUCUGAGAGGAUGAUCAGUCACACUGGAACUGAGACACGGUCCAGACUCCUACGGGAGGCAGCAGUGGGGAAUAUUGGACAAUGGGCGAAAGCCUGAUCCAGCCAUGCCGCGUGUGUGAAGAAGGUCUUCGGAUUGUAAAGCACUUUAAGUUGGGAGGAAGGGCAGUAAGUUAAUACCUUGCUGUUUUGACGUUACCAACAGAAUAAGCACCGGCUAACUUCGUG